RNAcentral lists this ribosomal RNA (253 nucleotides) under uncultured bacterium. RNAcentral describes it as "partial 16S ribosomal RNA". It matches the Rfam family "Bacterial small subunit ribosomal RNA", at positions 524 to 776 of the family's 1533-position model. The record is from RNAcentral.
UACGGGGGGGGUAAGCGUUGUUCGGAAUUACUGGGCGUAAAGGGCUCGUAGGCGGCCACCUAAGUCAGACGUGAAAUCCCUCAGCUUAACUGGGGAACUGCGUCUGAUACUGGAUGGCUUGGAUUCGGGAGAGGAAUGCGGAAUUCCAGGUGUAGCGGUGAAAUGCGUAGAUAUCUGGAGGAACACCGGUGGCGAAGGCGGCAUUCUGGACCGAUAUUGACGCUGAGGAGCGAAAGCCAGGGGAGCAAGCGGG